Alexandromys fortis (reed vole) is the source of this 493-nucleotide long non-coding RNA. RefSeq lists it as uncharacterized. The record is from RefSeq and is a predicted model, not a curated record. The transcript is spliced from 3 exons. NCBI's taxonomy places the organism in Eukaryota, Metazoa, Chordata, Mammalia, Rodentia, Cricetidae.
UGCUACAUUUUAAAUUUGAAUGCUCCCUUUCUUUUCCCUCUCUCCUUUAGUUACAACACCCACUCCCACAAACUUCUGAGUUUUCCUCAGUAUCUCUUGCAGUCACCAGAGUUAUUUCUCCACAGAAGGAUCACAGUAAAUCUCCUAACGGCUGCUUUGUUCACUGUGUCUGCCAAGUGAAAGAGUCUGGUUUUUCUAAGGAGAUUAAGUUAAUAUAUGGACUAUUUCCCUGAACCAAGACCACCACGGUGUCCUACUGCAGUAUCAUCUAAACCUCUUUUAUACUUUUUCUUCUUACAUUGAGUUCUGCGCACUUGAGCGGUGUACAGUAGGCUUUGAUACCACUUGUCCACAUGAACAACUCCUCAACUGUGUGUGACUGUACUGUUGUUGUUUUAAAGUGCUUGAGAAUCACCUUUGUACUUGCUAAGUAAGUGCAAAUCGCGGCACGACCCUUCCAGUGCUCAGGACUAUUAUUAGACAGUCAACUUUG